Lonchura striata (white-rumped munia) is the source of this 797-nucleotide non-coding RNA. The record is from RefSeq and is a predicted model, not a curated record. NCBI's taxonomy places the organism in Eukaryota, Metazoa, Chordata, Aves, Passeriformes, Estrildidae.
CACCAAGAAAUUGUGCUCAGAUCAAGAUACUGCUGUUUUGGAAUUGCAAGUUAAUUGCCAAAAUGAUUUGGUGCAUGGUGAGAAUAAGGACAUGACUGGGAAAGCUACACUAGAGGAAACUGCUGUGACUAAAGGCCUAGCAAGAAACAAUGAGGCAGAAGAGGAAGAGGAAGAAGAGCAUGACUACAGCUAUAUUGAUGAAAACAUAAUUGAAAAUAUAAGAAAAGUAUUUCACAGCACCAGAAAUGAGCAUACACUCUCCAAAGGAAGAAGAGACAUCUGAAGGAAAAUAAUUCUGAAAUUAACUGGAAACAAGUAGGAAGCUGUGUCCUUCACACAUCAAGAUUGACCACAACUGUAAGAAAAAGCUGCUCAUGAAAGUGUCCUUCUUGACUCAUGGAGAGCAUACAAGGCUGUAAUUUAGCUAUAAUAAUCCCCUGUGAAACUAAACUGCUUACUUGUCCUAAAUAAGAAGUCAAACCAGCUAAUGUCUCAUGACCCUUUGAAGGGACAAAGCUCUUCUGUACAUAUUUAUUAGUGAAUUCAGAGAACGAUGCCAAGUCCAAUCCUUCAUUCUUAUUUGCACCUGAAAUUCCAGUUAUUUCCUGAACUUCUGUAGGGCAUAUGCAAAAGAAAAUUCCUUACUGAAACAGCUUCAUAGUUGCUUCCUCUGGGUUUUGGUUUUGGGUUUUUGUUGUUUUUCUUUUUGAGAAGAAAAGGGUAAUGAAGGAUUAUCUAAGGUGGACAUUCAUUUCUUUAGCCAGUUUUAUGUGCUUCAGGUUAAGGCUCAAACUGGA